AAUGCACCAAUUUGUAAGUCGCUCUGGAUAAGAGCAUCUGCUAAAUGAGUUAUU
Non-coding RNA from Salmo salar (Atlantic salmon), 54 nucleotides. The record is from Rfam. Lineage: Eukaryota; Metazoa; Chordata; Actinopteri; Salmoniformes; Salmonidae.